UGGCGCAACGAAAAAUAUUGGAGCACGUAAGAAAGUGAAAUCGGCUAGCUGUGUAUUUUCGGAAUAUUUGAGGCGAAUAUUUUCGGUAUACUUACUAUCGUUUUCAUGGAACACAAACAUUGUGGGUGUUUAGAAACACUAAUAAGGGGGUGUGUCUUCCAGUCUCCAAAUAGAUUUGGAAGUAGGACGUUGUGGAAGCUACUAUCCCCUUUGUGUGUGGAAAAAUGCCCCUCUGUUUGUGUUUUACAUUACAGCAAAUUAAUUAAAUCAAAUUUUUUCAUAACUUGUGAUAUUGGAUGUGUUGGUGGUGGGAGGGGCAUCUAAUACGCAGAAUGUUCAACUGCUAUUUUGUUGAGAGGUGUAAGCGGUUGCAAAAUUAUGUACUUAGCGUAUAUUUUUCGCAGUGUGAGUGGGCAUCAUUACCGGUUUGUUUUAAAAGGG
This is an RNA transcript of Plasmodium vivax (malaria parasite P. vivax), 441 nucleotides long. It is a transcript of the gene named internal transcribed spacer 1, with no coding region annotated. The transcript has a single exon. Lineage: Eukaryota; Apicomplexa; Aconoidasida; Haemosporida; Plasmodiidae. The record is from RefSeq and is a predicted model, not a curated record.